Non-coding RNA from Phrynosoma platyrhinos (Desert horned lizard), 72 nucleotides. NCBI's taxonomy places the organism in Eukaryota, Metazoa, Chordata, Lepidosauria, Squamata, Phrynosomatidae. The record is from the annotation of a GenBank genome assembly.
GCUAGCAUGACACAGAGGUUUGAGUGUUGGACUAUGAUUCCGGAGACCAGGGUUCGAUUCCUAGUUUGGUCA